This 276-nucleotide long non-coding RNA is filed under the name Dermacentor andersoni. RNAcentral describes it as "uncharacterized LOC126523302". Lineage: Eukaryota; Metazoa; Arthropoda; Arachnida; Ixodida; Ixodidae. The record is from RNAcentral.
GUAAUAUAUUUGCUGAAUUUCAGAUCCCAAGAUCCCUUUCACCGCUGCAGUGCCCUAUACUGACUACACAAAGUGAUCCAUUCUGAAAAGCGGUGACCUCGGAGGCUAGUGCACGCUAUGGGUCAACGACGAAUACAAAGACGACUACCCUCAGAAAUACAUACAAAAGUACAAAGAAUACUGCGGUGAAGGAGUUUUAAUCUACGACAAGCAGACUUGUGCCGACCAGCAAGGUGCAUAGGUAGCGGCCGAGUAAAGUACCAAUACCAGGCGGCA